This 2095-nucleotide long non-coding RNA is filed under the name Anas platyrhynchos platyrhynchos (common mallard). RNAcentral describes it as "lncRNA (ENSAPLG00000022586.1)". The record is from RNAcentral. Lineage: Eukaryota; Metazoa; Chordata; Aves; Anseriformes; Anatidae.
GCAGAUGAAUGGUCUCUCUGGCUACCUUUAGACUUUCUUAUCAGCUUGCAGCUGAGCCCGUGCUUUCCCCACACCCCACUUCGUAAUUUCUGCAUGUUUGGUUGUUCAUUGCAGUGUGUUUGGAAGCAGUUAAACCUGUGGUGCUGUGAAGAAUCUGGCCAGCAUACAGGUUCCCAGCCCUGAAAGUGAUACAGGUGUCAGCACAACCCAGCAGGCUUGACCCAGCUGAUCCACACCUUCCAAAUGUGCCUUUAGAGGCAACUAGAAACACCUGCCCUGCUUAUGAGAUGUUAAAAGUGUAAGGGUUCUCACUAAGGUAGUGCUCUAAGAUUUAGGUAAGGUGACUGUGACUGUCUCUGUUAUGAGGAGCUAGGCAGGCUGGUGCUCUGGUCUUGCUUGUGAUGCCAUAUGCAGCAGAAAUCAGAGCUGUCUUCUGGCAAAAAGGCUCAAAGGUCCCGCUGAAGGAGCAGAAAACAAGCUGGGAUUGUUCCACCUGCAUAGCUGGCCUUCAGCUUUCAUGUAGCCACACACUCUCUGCAAUACCAGGGGGACCCACCUGUGCCUCCAGCGCUGCCAUGUCUUGGGACAGAAAUGAAGCGCCUUGCUCAGCCACCAGUGUGGUGUUCAAGCUGGAGGACAAUGCACAGUACGAGUUCCUCGUUGUGUGUCCCACUGCCAGAACGGUGCAGAGACCCACAGGGGAUGCCCUGAAUGCAGCUUAGGAAGAUGUGGGGUCCUGUGGUGAGAGGCAUGUCCCAUGUGUUGGGGUGUGUGACCGGGUGUGGAGCUGAAGCUGGCCCUGACCCUCCAUCGUGGUGGAACUGGGAGCAGGCUCCUUGCUGCUUGGAGGAGGGACAGAGGGAACCCAGAGCUCAGCACUGCCUCAGAGAUUGUUGCCAAGAGGCUAAUCGUCUCCUUGCGGAGGCACUAGUGGAAGUGAUUGAGACGAAGGGGUGUCACAUCAUCUUGAUGCUGAAGAGCAUUUGUGGAAGGAAGGAUGAAGGUCUCUGUUCGCAUGUACAUGCGAGCUUGGAGAAUGCACCAGGAAGGAUCCAAAUGAAGAGGAGGUGGGAAGCAGAGUUACAAAGCACCUAAGAAAGCCUCAAAUACACGAGUGGGAGGAAGGAGGAAGAAAUGAAGGAAUAAUGAAGCUUGCAUCACUGGGAGCAAACAGAGGAAGGGAAAUGCACAUACUUGUGGCUAAAUUCUGCAGGAACUUAGGCUGAGGUUUAAAGCUGCUGCGGUUAGCACAGAUACAGGCGCAGAGCAAUUCAGACGACCUGAUCAAAGGACAAAGAAACGCUGCUGCUGCUUUCAUUAGGAAAAUUACCUGGCUUGGAGUUAAUGGGUAUGUACAGGAAAAAGUGCUUUCUUUAUAGCGUUGACACGGAGUAGACCUGUGAAGGGUAAUCAGCACCUGCAGUGCCUACAAUGACUGUGAUUUGGGGAUUCCUUGAGUGGGGCCAGGACUUUGCCAUUCACGGAGGCUCCCGUUGGCAUCCGUGCGAUUCCCAGAUGUGGCGAUACUGCAAACAGAUAAUUACACUUUCACAAGCAAUUCGCAGACGCCUUGUUACUGACGUGGUGCCCAGGGCCCCCUGCAUUAGGCGUGCUGACAGCUGAGCCAAAACGCUUCGCUCCCACCUCUCGGGGUGGUUUCAUUAGGACUACACCGGGUGUUUCUACACGGUGAGCAUCGCCAGCAGCCACCAUGCCGACGGCUGCCUACCUGGGCUAGGAGCAAAGCCUGGAAAAACAGAACUGUGAACUUUGCCUGGGGGCCCCCAGGGCUGUGUACACCCCAUGGGACAAACACAGUCUGUCUGCAGUGAAGAGUGAGUUUUGGGGAAGCAGCCAAGGUCACGGCCUUCUGCACAGACAGGCGCACCAGGGACACAGCCGGGACCCCCAGAGGCGGGGGUGCAGAGCAUGUUGUGGCUGGGUGGUUUUUGUGAUUUUCACGAGCAGAAGGGCUGGGCUGCUCCUUUCGACAUCCACCUGGAGAGCCAGAAAAAGGGGCAGCGGAGCCAUCCUUCUGUUCCCACCACAACCACACGCACAAAAAUCCACUUUUUUUUUUUUUUCCCAAAUCUGA